AGUGAACGCUGGCGGUAGGCCUAACACAUGCAAGUCGAACGGCAGCCCAGUAAUAGCUUGCUCUUACGGGUGGCGAGUGGCGGACGGGUGAGGAAUACAUCGGAAUCUACUUUUUCGUGGGGGAUAACGUAGGGAAACUUACGCUAAUACCGCAUACGACCUACGGGUGAAAGCAUGGGAUCUUCGGACCUUGCGCGAUCGAAUGAGCCGAUGUCGGAUUAGCUAGUUGGCGGGGUAAAGGCCCACCAAGGCGACGAUCCGUAGCUGGUCUGAGAGGAUGAUCAGCCACACUGGAACUGAGACACGGUCCAGACUCCUACGGGAGGCAGCAGUGGGGAAUAUUGGACAAUGGGCGCAAGCCUGAUCCAGCCAUACCGCGUGGGUGAAGAAGGCCUUCGGGUUGUAAAGCCCUUUUGUUGGGAAAGAAAAGCAGCAGGUGAAUACCCCGCUGUGCUGACGGUACCCAAAGAGUAAGCACCGGCUAACUUCGUG
This 492-nucleotide ribosomal RNA is filed under the name uncultured bacterium. RNAcentral's name for it is "partial 16S ribosomal RNA". It matches the Rfam family "Bacterial small subunit ribosomal RNA", at positions 29 to 507 of the family's 1533-position model. The record is from RNAcentral.